RNAcentral lists this unclassified non-coding RNA (254 nucleotides) under fungal sp. RNAcentral's name for it is "partial internal transcribed spacer region". The stretch from base 1 to 46 matches the Rfam family "Eukaryotic small subunit ribosomal RNA", at positions 1786 to 1831 of the family's 1831-position model. Lineage: Eukaryota; Fungi. The record is from RNAcentral.
AAGUCGUAACAAGGUAACCGUAGGUGAACCUGCGGUUGGAUCAUUAAAUUGAAAAAAGAAGAGAAAAUAGAAUUUGAAUAGAAUUUCUAUUUUCUUUUUUUUAUAAACAUUUAGAGAUAAUUGAUUGUUAUUGUGGAAAGGGGAAGAAAUCACUUCUUUUUUUUUCCACAAAUUUUAAUUUAAACCAUUUAAAUAAAUUAAUUAAUAAUAAAUAAAAUAAAAAACAACUUUUGACAACGGAUCUCUUGGCUCUC